UUUUAAACAUCACCAAACAUUAAAAAAAGAUUCAAUACUUCUCUCUUUUCUACAACACCUUACGCCGCCGUGGAUCUUUUACAUCAGUUUUCUUAGCGGUUAAUUCUCAGAUGCUUCGUCGGAUUCCAUAUGGGAGAAGAAGCUACCUUCGGAUUUCGUCAGAUUCGGUUCAGAGUAGGUGCAACAGAGGUAAUCCACUCGCAGAUCCAGAUACACAAAACAUUAGUCCGUUGUGUAUGAUAAAAAUUCAGGAAAGUUCAAGUCCUACACAAACCAGGGAAGGUUCACUUACGAGUUCGCGAGGGAAACUUUCUCAAUGGAAUGAUGAACUCAUCAAUUCAUUCGUCGGCCUGGCUGAUGGAGUAGUUCCUGGAUUUUAGCUUCCUCUCCCACAUUAUCUCUACCACCCAUUGAAGCUGAGCUUGAGACAUAUGAGGUGACUUCAAGUCCUUGAGAUUCAAGUUGCUCACUCAUCCUUGAAUUCCAGUGCUGCUCAUUUUUCAGAAUAUUUCAUAGUCAAUGAUCAAUAACAGAGAUAAAAUAUCGAUUGUAGUUGACUACAAACAGAAGCAGUUUUCGGACUAUUUCGAUAAUUGUAUGUGAAUUUAAUAUUAUUUUAUGUUCAAUAGAAUUUAGAAAUUUAGAAAUCUAUCGAAUUAUUUUG
Long non-coding RNA from Brassica oleracea var. oleracea, 664 nucleotides. RefSeq lists it as uncharacterized. Lineage: Eukaryota; Viridiplantae; Streptophyta; Magnoliopsida; Brassicales; Brassicaceae. The record is from RefSeq and is a predicted model, not a curated record. The transcript is spliced from 5 exons.